This 468-nucleotide ribosomal RNA is filed under the name uncultured bacterium. RNAcentral's name for it is "partial 16S ribosomal RNA". It matches the Rfam family "Bacterial small subunit ribosomal RNA", at positions 28 to 507 of the family's 1533-position model. The record is from RNAcentral.
GACGAACGCUGGCGGCGUGCUUAACACAUGCAAGUCGAACGGAAAGGCCCUGCUUUUGUGGGGUGCUCGAGUGGCGAACGGGUGAGUAACACGUGAGUAACCUGCCCUUGACUUUGGGAUAACUUCAGGAAACUGGGGCUAAUACCGGAUAGGAGCUCCUGCUGCAUGGUGGGGGUUGGAAAGUUUCGGCGGUUGGGGAUGGACUCGCGGCUUAUCAGCUUGUUGGUGGGGUAGUGGCUUACCAAGGCUUUGACGGGUAGCCGGCCUGAGAGGGUGACCGGCCACAUUGGGAGUGAGAUACGGCCAAGACUCCUACGGGAGGCAGCAGUGGGGAAUAUUGCACAAUGGGCGGAAGCCUGAUGCAGCAACGCCGCGUGCGGGAUGACGGCCUUCGGGUUGUAAACCGCUUUCGCCUGUGACGAAGCGUGAGUGACGGUAAUGGGUAAAGAAGCACCGGCUAACUACGUG